CAAGUCGAACGGUAACAGGAAACAGCUUGCUGUUUCGCUGACGAGUGGCGGACGGGUGAGUAAUGUCUGGGAAACUGCCUGAUGGAGGGGGAUAACUACUGGAAACGGUAGCUAAUACCGCAUAACGUCGCAAGACCAAAGAGGGGGACCUUCGGGCCUCUUGCCAUCAGAUGUGCCCAGAUGGGAUUAGCUAGUACGUGGGGUAACGGCUCACCUAGGCGACGAUCCCUAGCUGGUCUGAGAGGAUGACCAGCCACACUGGAACUGAGACACGGUCCAGACUCCUACGGGAGGCAGCAGUGGGGAAUAUUGCACAAUGGGCGCAAGCCUGAUGCAGCCAUGCCGCGUGUAUGAAGAAGGCCUUCGGGUUGUAAAGUACUUUCAGCGGGGAGGAAGGGAGUGAAGUUAAUACCUUUGCUCAUUGACGUUACCCGCAGAAGAAGCACCGGCUAACUCCGUGCCAGCAGCCGCGGUAAUACGGAGGGUGCAAGCGUUAAUCGGAAUUACUGGGCGUAAAGCGCACGCAGGCGGUUUGUUAAGUCAGAUGUGAAAUCCCCGGGCUCAACCUGGGAACUGCAUCUGAUACUGGCAAGCUUGAGUCUCGUAGAGGGGGGUAGAAUUCCAGGUGUAGCGGUGAAA
RNAcentral lists this ribosomal RNA (639 nucleotides) under uncultured Pseudomonadota bacterium. RNAcentral's name for it is "bacterial SSU rRNA". It matches the Rfam family "Bacterial small subunit ribosomal RNA", at positions 58 to 686 of the family's 1533-position model. The record is from RNAcentral. Lineage: Bacteria; Pseudomonadati; Pseudomonadota.